Molecule: small nucleolar RNA, 124 nt
Organism: Mangifera indica (mango)
Lineage: Eukaryota; Viridiplantae; Streptophyta; Magnoliopsida; Sapindales; Anacardiaceae
Product: small nucleolar RNA SNORD14
Exons: 1
Source: RefSeq, a predicted model, not a curated record
GGUCAAUGAGGAUGUUUUUAAUGCUUGUUUCUCAAAAACAUUCACAGUGGCCGCCUGAAAGUUUUCGCCUUCGCCGGGCUUGAGAGCUUGUGCUGCGUUCAUCCGUCCUUGGGUGUCUGAGACC